Tigriopus californicus is the source of this 1786-nucleotide RNA transcript. RefSeq lists it as uncharacterized. The record is from RefSeq and is a predicted model, not a curated record. The transcript is spliced from 5 exons. Lineage: Eukaryota; Metazoa; Arthropoda; Copepoda; Harpacticoida; Harpacticidae.
GAAAAAGAGCCUCGAGGUGUUCCUCUACAGCUGGAUCUGCAUCUUUGGAAUCAGAUGAUAGAUGGCAUACGACCUGAUCUUCGGCUUAUUCGGCCACAUUCCUAGCCCGUGAAAGAGCUGCCUUGAAGCCUUUACGACUGGCUUUCAAGACCUGGACGGCCUCACGAUCGGACAUGCUGAGGAUUCGAGACGGGAACCACUGGAAAUCCACAAAUCAACACCACGAUGGCACGGGAUGGAUGGAUCCAAGGAUGAUCACGUACAAAUAACCGACCACACAACCCGAAGUCUCAGAUCAGGGAUAGCCGUAGACGGAACGUACAUUUAAGAGUUCGUACAGACCGACUGCGCCAUCGCAUGAUCGUAUUGAGUGGACAAAAGCGGAGGACACAUAGAUCGAGUAAAGGUUCAGAUGGGAGUGUAUUUCUCGACUAGAUAUGCUCGGAAGUAAACGUCAAUCAUAACUCGCAUGACAACAUCACAACAUACCAAAACCCUAAUAUUAUUUGGAGCGUUUGCCAUUGGCAGCUUGAAAAAAAUUGGACCAAGAAGAUCAAAAACCCGGAAAUGUUGAUGGACAUCAAAGGCCUUCGACAAAUAGCCGAAAUCGCGCCUUUCACUCAAAAAAUGCUAAGCAUUCAAUCGAAAAAGGAAGCUUCAGAAGAAAGAACAUCGUGGGUGUACUUCGUGACCAACUAUGGGCCUGAUGGACGGCAAGCCCCCUUCAACGCGUGGGCAAGACCUUCCACCCUUGGCGCCCCAUGUCAAAAUCUUCACGUUGAGCGAUACCACCGGACAAUAAAGGGCGUGUUCAAACCCAAUAUGAAUAUUGCCCGAUUUUGUUUGGGGUUGAAGAAUGUCAACAAGACAUUCAUUCGCAAAGAUGUCAUGGCAAAAGAGGGAAUCCGGGGAAUUGGGCAAUCUAAGAUCCAGUCCGACGUGAACAAGAGCCACCCGACUGAUGCUGAGAUCUCCAGCUAUUCGCUUGAACGAGUCGAUGCAAAUUGUGUCACGCUUAUGAAGUGAAAUUCAAUAGGUGAAGAGAUUGUCUACACGAUGAGAGUAAACCGCUUCCCAUGCAACAGCAAUUUGUGCCAAGUUCGUUGUGAUUUCUGCACGGACUGAAAAAUGUGCGCUCAUGUUUACACAUGUACCUGCCAGCGAUAUGCUUAUAGCAACUUGUGCAAACACAUGCAUGUUUUGGCCAUGUUGGAAGCAUCCGACGAUACUUCCAUUGAAUCCGAUCCUUCCACUGAAGAAAAUUGCCCAGUCACCGUCAAACCCCCAUUGAGCAACUCAUUGUCAGACGAAACAGAUCAGCCUAAUGAGGUGGGGCAAGGGUCAAAAAGCGAUAAAGAGGAGGUUUCUGCAUUUUUGAACGAUUGUUCCUUGGUCAAAGAGAGGAUUCGGCUAAUUGAAGCUGUUUUAAGAGCUGAAGAUCUCAAUGUUUGCGAAAAAAAGGUGUUGAUGAAAAGCUGUCAAGCUCGGUUUGCCGAUCUAAUUAACCUAUCGUACGACACCAAUCUCAAUCCAUCUUGCUUCCCCCGAUUGGAUCGAAAAAGAGUCCAUCAGCCCCCAAACAGAUCAUUUUUCCCCACCAAGAAAGCCAAGCAAGAUCACACGUCACUUAAUACUCUCUAACUGUUCUUUCAUCCGAAGUUCCCUGUGGUUCGAAAUUUUCUUUGUUAUUUCGGAUACUUCUGGUGGUUUUGCGUCACUCCCUUGCUUUCCAAUGUAUAUUGUAUACGCUUUUUGACAAGAUUUUAACGUAUGUUAUUCAGCCUUU